AUUGAACGCUGGCGGCAGGCCUAACACAUGCAAGUCGAACGGUAACAGGAAGCAGCUUGCUGCUUCGCUGACGAGUGGCGGACGGGUGAGUAAUGUCUGGGAUGCUGCCUGAUGGAGGGGGAUAACUACUGGAAACGGUAGCUAAUACCGCAUAAUGUCGCAAGACCAAAGAGGGGGACCUUCGGGUCUCUUGCCAUCGGGUGUGCCCAGAUGGGAUUAGCUGGUUGGUGGGGUAACGGCUCACCAAGGCGACGAUCCCUAGCUGGUCUGAGAGGAUGACCAGCCACACUGGAACUGAGACACGGUCCAGACUCCUGCGGGAGGCAGCAGUGGGGAAUAUUGCACAAUGGGCGCAAGCCUGAUGCAGCCAUGCCGCGUGUAUGAAGAAGGCCUUCGGGUUGUAAAGUACUUUCAGCGGGGAGGAAGGGAGUAAAGUUAAUACCUUUGCUCAUUGACGUUACCCGCAGAAGAAGCACCGGCUAACUCCGUG
RNAcentral lists this ribosomal RNA (490 nucleotides) under uncultured bacterium. Its description in RNAcentral is "partial 16S ribosomal RNA". It matches the Rfam family "Bacterial small subunit ribosomal RNA", at positions 30 to 507 of the family's 1533-position model. The record is from RNAcentral.